This 506-nucleotide ribosomal RNA is filed under the name uncultured bacterium. Its description in RNAcentral is "partial 16S ribosomal RNA". It matches the Rfam family "Bacterial small subunit ribosomal RNA", at positions 29 to 523 of the family's 1533-position model. The record is from RNAcentral.
AGUGAACGCUGGCGGUAGGCCUAACACAUGCAAGUCGAACGGCAGCACAGGAGAGCUUGCUCUCUGGGUGGCGAGUGGCGGACGGGUGAGGAAUACAUCGGAAUCUACUCUGUCGUGGGGGAUAACGUAGGGAAACUUACGCUAAUACCGCAUACGACCUACGGGUGAAAGCAGGGGACCUUCGGGCCUUGCGCGAUUGAAUGAGCCGAUGUCGGAUUAGCUAGUUGGCGGGGUAAAGGCCCACCAAGGCGACGAUCCGUAGCUGGUCUGAGAGGAUGAUAAGCCACGCUGGAACUGAGACACGGUCCAGACUCCUACGGGAGGCAGCAGUGGGGAAUAUUGGACAAUGGGCGCAAGCCUGAUCCAGCCAUACCGCGUGGGUGAAGAAGGCCUUCGGGUUGUAAAGCCCUUUUGUUGGAAAAGAAAUCCAGCUGGCUAAUACCCGGUUGGGAUGACGGUACCCAAAGAAUAAGCACCGGCUAACUUCGUGCCAGCCGCCGCCGUAA